Molecule: non-coding RNA, 30 nt
Filed under: Macaca fascicularis (crab-eating macaque)
Lineage: Eukaryota; Metazoa; Chordata; Mammalia; Primates; Cercopithecidae
Also listed under: 2 other names
Source: RNAcentral
AGUUCGUGAUGGAUUUGCUUUUUUCUGAUU